CACGCCGUAAACGAUGAGUACUAGGUGUAGGGGGUAUCGACCCCCCCUGUGCCGCAGUAAACACAAUAAGUACUCCGCCUGGGAAGUACGAUCGCAAGAUUAAAACUCAAAGGAAUUGACGGGGGCCCGCACAAGCGGUGGAUUAUGUGGUUUAAUUCGAAGCAACGCGAAGAACCUUACCAGGACUUGACAUCCUGCUAACGAAGCAGAGAUGCAUUAGGUGCCCUUCGGGGAAAGCAGAGACAGGUGG
RNAcentral lists this ribosomal RNA (250 nucleotides) under uncultured bacterium. Its description in RNAcentral is "partial 16S ribosomal RNA". It matches the Rfam family "Bacterial small subunit ribosomal RNA", at positions 796 to 1041 of the family's 1533-position model. The record is from RNAcentral.